This 490-nucleotide ribosomal RNA is filed under the name uncultured bacterium. Its description in RNAcentral is "partial 16S ribosomal RNA". It matches the Rfam family "Bacterial small subunit ribosomal RNA", at positions 28 to 507 of the family's 1533-position model. The record is from RNAcentral.
GAUGAACGCUAGCUACAGGCUUAACACAUGCAAGUCGCGGGGCAGCAUGGGGGUUGCUUGCAAUCCCCGAUGGCGACCGGUGCACGGGUGAGUAACGCGUAUCCAACCUGCCCUUCACCACGGGAUAACCCGGCGAAAGUCGGACUAAUACCGUAUGUUGUCCAUUGACGGCAUCCGAUUUGGACGAAAGGCUUGGCGGUGAGGGAUGGGGAUGCGUCCGAUUAGCCAGACGGCGGGGUAACGGCCCACCGUGGCUACGAUCGGUAGGGGUUCUGAGAGGAAGGUCCCCCACACUGGAACUGAGACACGGUCCAGACUCCUACGGGAGGCAGCAGUGAGGAAUAUUGGUCAAUGGGCGUAAGCCUGAACCAGCCAAGUAGCGUGCAGGAUGACGGCCCUAUGGGUUGUAAACUGCUUUUAUGCGGGGAUAAAGUGGCCCACGGGUGGGCUUUUGCAGGUACCGCAUGAAUAAGGACCGGCUAAUUCCGUG